GAUGAACGCUGGCGGCGUGCCUAAUACAUGCAAGUCGAGCGAACAGACGAGGAGCUUGCUCCUCUGACGUUAGCGGCGGACGGGUGUGUAACACGUGGAUAACCUACCUAUAAGACUGGGAUAACUUCGGGAAACCGGAGCUAAUACCGGAUAAUAUAUUGAACCGCAUGGUUCAAUAGUGAAAGACGGUUUUGCUGUCACUUAUAGAUGGAUCCGCGCCGCAUUAGCUAGUUGGUAAGGUAACGGCUUACCAAGGCAACGAUGCGUAGCCGACCUGAGAGGGUGAUCGGCCACACUGGAACUGAGACACGGUCCAGACUCCUACGGGAGGUAGCAGUAGGGAAUCUUCCGCAAUGGGCGAAAGCCUGACGGAGCAACGCCGCGUGAGUGAUGAAGGUCUUCGGAUCGUAAAACUCUGUUAUUAGGGAAGAACAAAUGUGUAAGUAACUAUGCACGUCUUGACGGUACCUAAUCAGAAAGCCACGGCUAACUACGUG
Molecule: ribosomal RNA, 497 nt
Filed under: uncultured bacterium
Lineage: Bacteria
Description: partial 16S ribosomal RNA
Rfam family: Bacterial small subunit ribosomal RNA
Source: RNAcentral